AUUGAACGCUGGCGGCGUGCUUAACACAUGCAAGUCGAACGAAGUGGCGAACGGGUGAGUAACGCGUAAUCAACCUGCCCUUCAGAGGGGUACAACAGUUGGAAACGACUGCUAAUCCCGCAUACUGAAGUAGGGGAUUUCGUUGGAUUAGCUAGUUGGAGGGGUAACGGCCCACCAAGGCGAUGAUCAGUAGCCGGUCUGAGAGGGUGAACGGCCACAGUGGGACUGAGACACGGCCCAGACUCCUACGGGAGGCAGCAGUAGGGAAUCUUCCGCAAUGGACGAAAGUCUGACGGAGCAACGCCGCGUGAGUGAUGACGGCCUUCGGGUUGUAAAGCUCUGUUAAUCGGGACGCGGUACCGGAAUAGAAAGCCACGGCUAACUACGUGCCAGCAGCCGCGGUAAUAC
This 408-nucleotide ribosomal RNA is filed under the name uncultured bacterium. RNAcentral's name for it is "partial 16S ribosomal RNA". It matches the Rfam family "Bacterial small subunit ribosomal RNA", at positions 30 to 526 of the family's 1533-position model. The record is from RNAcentral.